ACUUCCAGAUUCACACCUGACCGCCGUAAAGCUUAAAAGCUUCCCAUUUUGAAUUCUACAGUACUUCUGAAAUUUGUUGAGCCUUCUUGAAAUUUGAAUCUCGCAUCAUGUGUUUUGAUGCCGUGGGGAUGGAGGAGCGUCUCGGAAAUCUUUGAAACCCAUUUCCAGAUCCACCAAAUUAUGUCUAGGUUUUCAAAUUUUCUUUACCACUGAAGAUUUGUGUUCUUGGUGGGCGGCGAGUGAGAUGGAGUUCACCGAGACGUAUAAGCAGACCGGACCAUGUGCAUUUUCGCCAAAUGCGAGGUUUUUAGCUGUCGCUGUAGAUUAUCGCCUGGUCAUUCGCGAUGUUCUCACAUUCAAGGUAGUACAAUUGUUCUCGUGCUUGGACAAAAUAACUUACAUUGAAUGGGCUCUUGAUUCUGAGUACAUUCUAUGUGGCCUAUUAAAGAAGUCAAUGAUACAAGCAUGGUCGUUGGCACAGCCAGAAUGGACAUGCAAGAUAGACGAGGGUCCUGCCGGUAUUUCCUAUGCCAGGUGGAGUCCUGAUAGUCGGCACAUACUGACUACUUCUGAGUUUCAACUGCGGCUUACGGUCUGGUCAUUGUUGAACACCGCAUGCAUACAUGUGCAAUGGCCAAAGCAUGGUUCUAAGGGAGUGUCAUUCUCAAAAGAUGGAAAGUUUGCAGCAAUUUGCACCCGACGUGAUUGCAAAGAUCAUGUUAAUCUGCUUUCUUGUUAUACUUGGGAGAUUUUGAAUGUUUUUGCUGUUGACACAUUGGAUUUGGCUGACAUACAGUGGUCUCCUGAUGAUAGUGCCAUUGUCAUCUGGGAUUCGCCUCUUGAAUAUAAGGUUCUGAUUUAUUCUCCAGAUGGUCGGUGUUUAUCCAAGUAUCAAGCAUACGAAAGUGGAUUGGGAGUCAAGAGCGUUUCUUGGUCUCCCUCUAGCCAGUUCUUAGCUGUGGGGAGCUACGACCAAAUGAUACGGGUGUUGAAUCACUUGACAUGGAAAGUUUUUGCUGAAUUUAUGCAUCUGUCAACAGUACGUGGUCCUUGCGCCGCGGCUGUUUUUAAGGAAGUAGAUGAGCCUUUGCAACUCGACAUGUCGGACCUGUCACUAAGUGACGAAUUUGUUCAAAGAAAUGCCGAUAAUGCUGCUGAGACAUACAUUCAAGUUAGAUACGAUGUUAUGGAAGUUCCGAUUACACUUCCUUCACAAAAGCCGCCAGCAGACAAACCAAACCCCAAACAAGGGAUUGGUCUUAUGUCGUGGAGCAGCGACAGCCAGUAUAUCUGCACGCGCAACGACAGCAUGCCAACAGUCCUCUGGAUAUGGGACGUCCAGCGUCUCGAGCUCUCCGCGAUUUUGAUACAGAAAGAUUCCAUCCGAGCUGCUGCUUGGGAUCCCAACGGUCCGCGCCUGGUGCUGUGCACCGGAAGCAAUAACUUAUACAUGUGGACACCUGCAGGCGCCUACUGCAUAAAUGUCCCCUUCCCUAACCUCUCUGUUCUCGAUCUGAAAUGGAAUUCGGACGGGAGCUGUCUUCUUAUCAAAGACAAGGAGUUCUUCUGCUGCGCCGCUGUUCCCUUAUUGCAGGAAUCCAGCGAUUACAGCUCCGAUGAUUGAGGUAUGUUCGAACUUUCUUUGCCUACAAUGCUAAGUCAUAAAAUGUGUUCUGAAAAUCGCAGUCUUUUUUAUUCGAAUGAGGCGAACCAGCAGUGUGGGAAAGGCUUCGACCUGCGUUCGUGUGUGUAAAUCAUUUGGAUCAAUGGCAGGCAACGGAACGGAACGGAACGACGGUAAUGUGUCUCAACGGAUGCGAUAUAUCAACUCCUCCGGCGUGCUCUACAAACUCCGCCGGCGUGAAGAACCUUCGAUGGCACACACACAUGAUGAUAACCUCGGUGUUGAUGUACUUGUACA
Molecule: RNA transcript, 1921 nt
Organism: Andrographis paniculata
Lineage: Eukaryota; Viridiplantae; Streptophyta; Magnoliopsida; Lamiales; Acanthaceae
Exons: 7
Source: RefSeq, a predicted model, not a curated record